Long non-coding RNA from Xiphophorus couchianus (Monterrey platyfish), 1856 nucleotides. RefSeq lists it as uncharacterized. The record is from RefSeq and is a predicted model, not a curated record. NCBI's taxonomy places the organism in Eukaryota, Metazoa, Chordata, Actinopteri, Cyprinodontiformes, Poeciliidae. The transcript has 2 exons.
UGUAACUGCGCCGAGUUCUGUUUCAUCCUCCAAAACGCGCCAGACAGGGGAAUGAUUCAAUGUAACUUUGCUGCAUCGAUCAGCUCUCUCUAAUGUUGCAGCGCAGCCUGGUAAACGCAAAGUGCCUCUCUGCUCUCCAUCAGAGCUGUUUACGAUCACAAAGCAGAGCUCUGUGUCCCUUCUAAUACAAAUAACUGCAACAUAGAGAGUUAGGUGUGGACUACAUAUAUUUUUAGAAGCUGCCCAAGUACAAUUUAGGACAGCUCAGGUGAUGUUGUCAUUAGUUUUUAGUUCUCUAAUGUUCAUUCAAAACAUUUUACACGAAGGCACACGCUGCUUCCUUGUGUGACAACAUGGACAAAUAGAAAAUCAGUCAAAAUAUCAGGAAGAUAAUUUUAAGGAAAAGGCUUCUGGAUGCACACGGGGAGUGAAGGCUACCUACUGUUGCCCAAAUUAGUGAAUAAGUUAGUGGUGGAUGUAAUAGAAAGAACGAGAAAUACAGAGUAUCUCCUUUUAUUGCAUAUGAUCAUAUAUCUGUGGACCAUUAAGGUUUCCCAUUUUAACCCCUGCAGACUCAACAUCAAAAUCAGGACCACACAGCUUUAGAAAAACUGGGCUUAUAUUCAUGAAUUAUUAUUAUUAUUAUUUUUUUUUUUUUCAAUUUUAUUGUUUUCGAUGACCAGAAGGGAACCACAUUGAACCAGGUGUACUUUGGGAAGACUGUAAGCUGGCAGAUGUAGUGUGAUGAUUUUGACAGUGUUCUUCUGGAAAACCUUUGGUUCUCCUGUUACAUGAACACGUGUUUGAGCUUUCAGUGGCCUGAGUUUUUAUUUGUGUUUUUGCAAACAAAAUAAGUGACUCAUAAAUCUGAAACCGUGUUUGAACUGUCUCUAUUCAGAGCUGAUUGAAGAAGUUCAAUUUUGUUCCGGUUAAGCACUUUUAUUUUUUUGAACUGUACAGUAAAAAGAAGAAACAUCAACACAGUGAAAUGUUCCUUGUUUAGUGCGGAACUUUAGAGUUAUUAACCCACUCAACCAUUGUUGCACAGCUUCAUUUUCUCACUAUGCAAAAUAACAGAAGGCCCCAGAUCCCCAUUCUGUGGAUGCAAACCCAUGAGAGAAGGGCAUCCAGGGCGCUGAACUACAUCGCAUGCAUCAAAACCCCUCACUGAGCACAUCUGCAUAAAUGAGUGUAGAGCUGCAGAUUCUGCACAAGCUGAGCUCAGUAUGAGUUCCCUAUCAGCAGCUCCGUCAAGCAAAAAUCGAUGUCGAAGUUUUCACUGGGUGGCCAUCGCUUCUCCUUCUAGCACUGGAUGAUCUCAGAGACUUCAGUGCAAACUAACUAGAGUUGGUGGGUUUUGGGGGUGGGAGGAAGCGGGGGGGGGGGGGCAACAACCAGUCAGCCCAUUACACACACCACCCCUGCAUAUAAGAGCUGAGAGGAAAAUCAAUAAAGAGUCCGAGCGAUGGUGGCUUACAUUAGUGACCCUGCUUAAUGCAACUCACAGGGGGAAUAUGGGAGCUUUAAAAAUCUGUCGUCAAUGUCUUUACCUCUGGAUCUUUGUGUUAAAUUACCUUUAAGUAAAAAAAAGUGAGAGAAUAACUGUAAGGUGUGAUGUUCCAUUAUUGUUGGCCAGACUCUGUUCUCCUACUCUUCUACUCCCUUCUCUUACAUGUAAACUUGUCAUAAUCCUACUUUUUAUUUAACUUUGUUGGCAUCCAAAGUGAAUUAACAUAGAAAACUUUGAAUAUAUACUUUUGUCAUCUAUAAUUGAUGCACUAGUUGCAUAUUUAGGAAACAAAGAUAAAGCCAAAAAUGGAAAACUGUUAGUAAAUAAACAAACAGCACAACUAAGA